RNAcentral lists this ribosomal RNA (2559 nucleotides) under Sediminibacterium sp. RNAcentral describes it as "partial 23S ribosomal RNA". It matches the Rfam family "Bacterial large subunit ribosomal RNA". Lineage: Bacteria; Pseudomonadati; Bacteroidota; Chitinophagia; Chitinophagales; Chitinophagaceae. The record is from RNAcentral.
GGUCAAGUGAUCAAGCGCAUCUGGUGGAUGCCUUGGCGGCAACAGGCGAUGAAGGACGUAGUAGCUUGCGAUAAGCCACGGGGAGUCAGCAAACAGACUUUGAUCCGUGGAUUUCCGAAUGGGGCAACCCAGUACCAUGAAGUGGUAUUACCCUACGGGGGGCGAACGGGGGGAACUGAAACAUCUAAGUACCCCUAGGAGAAGAAAAUAAUAAUGAUUCCGCAAGUAGUGGCGAGCGAACGCGGAAGAGCCCAAACCAGCCUGGUUACGGCCAGACUGGGGUUGUAGGACUCACCAAGUGUAUAACAAUUGAACUGGAAUGGCAUGGGAAGGCCAACCGCAGAGGGUGAGAGUCCUGUACAGGUAAGAGCGUUAUAUGAGUGAGUAUCCUGAGUAAGUGGGGACCGGAGAAAUCCCCUCUGAAUCUACCGGCACCAUCCGGUAAGGCUAAAUACUCCUGAGAGACCGAUAGUGAACGAGUACCGUGAGGGAAAGGUGAAAAGUACCGCGAGCAGCGGGGUGAAAUAGAACUUGAAACCAUGCGCUUACAAGCGGACGGAGCCUUCGGGUGACGUCGUGCCUUUUGCAUAAUGAGCCUACGAGUUACUCCUAACUGGCGAGGUUAAGUUCUUAUUUAACGGAGCCGAAGCGAAAGCAAGUCCAAAUAGGGCGAUUAGUCAGUUGGGGUAGACGCGAAACUUUGUGAUCUAUCCAUGGGCAGGUUGAAGUUCUGGUAACACAGAAUGGAGGACCGAACCCGUUGACGUUGAAAAGUCUUGGGAUGACCUGUGGAUAGGGGUGAAAGGCCAAUCAAACUGAGAGAUAGCUCGUUCUCCCCGAAAUGUUUUUAGGAACAGCCUCGGAUAUAGAAGUAUGAUAGAGGUAGAGCUACUGAUUGGGCUAGGGGGCUUCAUCGCCUACCAAACCCUGACAAACUCCGAAUGCUAUCAUAUAUCUCCGGGAGUGAGGCUGCGGGCGCUAAGGUCCGUGGCCGAGAGGGAAAUAACCCAGAUUAGCAACUAAGGUCCCUAAUACGUAGUUAAGUUGAUCAAACGAGGUGGGAUUUCUAUAACAGCCAGGAUGUUGGCUUGGAAGCAGCCAUUCAUUUAAAGAGUGCGUAACAGCUCACUGGUCGAGAGAUCCUGCACGGAAAAUAAUCGGGCAUCAAACUACGAACCGAAGUUCUAAAUUCUACCACCUCGGUGGUAGAGUGGUAGGGGAGCAUUCAAAUCUGCACUGAAGGUGUUGGGCGACCAAUGCUGGAGCGAUUUGAAAAGAAAAUGUAGGCAUAAGUAACGAUAAUUAAAGUGAAAAACUUUAACGCGAAAAGUCUAAGGUUUCCUGAUCAACGUUAAUCGGAUCAGGGUUAGUCUGGUCCUUAGGAAAACCCGAAAGGGGUAUCUGAUGGAAAGAAGGUUAAUAUUCCUUCACCUGCUAUGCAUUAAAAGUGACGCAGGGACGUGGUGGUUGCGUACGGACGGAAGUGUACGCCUGAGUGGAGUCUUCGGACAAAGCGAAAUCAUAAAAUCCCUGCCAAGAAAAGCGAGCAUAGCAGCCAGUACCGGAAUCCGACACAGGUAGACGGGAUGAGUAUUCUAACGCGCUCGGGUGAGCCGUGGAGAAGGAACUAGGCAAAUUAACGCUGUAACUUCGGGAUAAAGCGUACCGCAGUAAUGCGGUCACAGUAAAAUGGUUCAACCAACUGUUUAACAAAAACACAGGGCCCUGCAAAAACGUAAGUUGACGUAUAGAGCCUGAAACCUGCCCGGUGCUGGAAGGUUAAGGAAGGGUGUUCGGCGCAAGCCAAAGCUCCUGACUGAAGCCCCAGUAAACGGCGGCCGUAACUAUAACGGUCCUAAGGUAGCGAAAUUCCUUGUCGGGUAAGUUCCGACCUGCACGAAUGGUCUAAUGAGUUGAACACUGUCUCCUCCACGAGCCCGGUGAAAUUGUAGUAUCGGUGAAGAUGCCGGUUACCCGCCACGGGACGGAAAGACCCCGUGAACCUUCACUACAACUUUGCAUUGAUUUUGAGCCACAAAUGUGUAGGAUAGUUGGGAGACUUUGAAGCAGCAUCGCCAGGUGUUGUGGAGUCAUCGUUGAAAUACCAACCUUUUGUUGCUUAGAACCUAACCCCUUGCGGGGGACAUUGCAUGGUGGGUAGUUUGACUGGGGUGGUCGCCUCCUAAAAAGUAACGGAGGCUCGCAAAGGUACCCUCAGUACGGUUGGUAAUCGUACGAAGAGCGCAUUAGUAAAAGGGUGCUUGACUGUGAGACAAACACGUCGAGCAGGAGCGAAAGCUGGCUAAAGUGAUCCGGUGUUUCUGUAUGGAAGGGACAUCGCUCAAAGGAUAAAAGGUACUCCGGGGAUAACAGGCUGAUCUUACCCAAGAGCUCAUAUCGACGGUAAGGUUUGGCACCUCGAUGUCGGUUCGUCACAUCCUGGGGCUGGAGAAGGUCCCAAGGGUUCGGCUGUUCGCCGAUUAAAGUGGCACGUGAACUGGGUUCAGAACGUCGCAAGACAGUUCGGUCCCUAUCUGUGGUGGGCGCUAGUAAAUUGAG